GUUUGAGGAUGAUGAUACAGAAAAAAUCACAGUUAUCCCUGUCUGAUAUACAAAGUGAUGAAUUCUAUGUGAUCUGACUCAUUU
Molecule: small nucleolar RNA, 84 nt
Organism: Impatiens glandulifera
Lineage: Eukaryota; Viridiplantae; Streptophyta; Magnoliopsida; Ericales; Balsaminaceae
Product: small nucleolar RNA R38
Exons: 1
Source: RefSeq, a predicted model, not a curated record